RNAcentral lists this non-coding RNA (34 nucleotides) under Trichobilharzia regenti. The record is from RNAcentral. Lineage: Eukaryota; Metazoa; Platyhelminthes; Trematoda; Strigeidida; Schistosomatidae.
GAGUCCCAAAUAGGACGAAAUGCGUAUCCUGGAU